GGUUAAGUUAGAAAGGGCGCACGGUGGAUGCCUUGACACUAGGAGUCGAUGAAGGACGGGACUAACGCCGAUAUGCUUCGGGGAGCUGUAAGUAAGCUUUGAUCCGAAGAUUUCCGAAUGGGGAAACCCACCAUACGUAAUGGUAUGGUAUCCUUAUCUGAAUACAUAGGGUAAGGAAGACAGACCCAGGGAACUGAAACAUCUAAGUACCUGGAGGAAGAGAAAGCAAAUGCGAUUUCCUGAGUAGCGGCGAGCGAAACGGAACAUAGCCCAAACCAAGAGGCUUGCCUCUUGGGGUUGUAGGACAUUCUAUACGGAGUUACAAAGGAACGAGGUAGACGAAGCGACCUGGAAAGGUCCGUCGUAGAGGGUAACAACCCCGUAGUCGAAACUUCGUUCUCUCUUGAAUGUAUCCUGAGUACGGCGGAACACGUGAAAUUCCGUCGGAAUCUGGGAGGACCAUCUCCCAAGGCUAAAUACUCCCUAGUGAUCGAUAGUGAACCAGUACCGUGAGGGAAAGGUGAAAAGCACCCCGGAAGGGGAGUGAAAGAGAUCCUGAAACCGUGUGCCUACAAAUAGUCAGAGCCCGUUAAUGGGUGAUGGCGUGCCUUUUGUAGAAUGAACCGGCGAGUUACGAUCCCGUGCGAGGUUAAGCUGAAGAGGCGGAGCCGCAGCGAAAGCGAGUCUGAAUAGGGCGUUUAGUACGUGGUCGUAGACCCGAAACCAGGUGAUCUACCCAUGUCCAGGGUGAAGUUCAGGUAACACUGAAUGGAGGCCCGAACCCACGCACGUUGAAAAGUGCGGGGAUGAGGUGUGGGUAGCGGAGAAAUUCCAAUCGAACCUGGAGAUAGCUGGUUCUCCCCGAAAUAGCUUUAGGGCUAGCCUUAAGUGUAAGAGUCUUGGAGGUAGAGCACUGAUUGGACUAGGGGUCCUCAUCGGAUUACCGAAUUCAGUCAAACUCCGAAUGCCAAUGACUUAUCCUUAGGAGUCAGACUGCGAGUGAUAAGAUCCGUAGUCAAAAGGGAAACAGCCCAGACCGCCAGCUAAGGUCCCAAAGUGUGUAUUAAGUGGAAAAGGAUGUGGAGUUGCUUAGACAACUAGGAUGUUGGCUUAGAAGCAGCCACCAUUUAAAGAGUGCGUAAUAGCUCACUAGUCGAGUGACUCUGCGCCGAAAAUGUACCGGGGCUAAAUACACCACCGAAGCUGCGGAUUGAUACCAAUGGUAUCAGUGGUAGGGGAGCGUUCUAAGGACAGUGAAGUCAGACCGGAAGGACUGGUGGAGUGCUUAGAAGUGAGAAUGCCGGUAUGAGUAGCGAAAGACGGGUGAGAAUCCCGUCCACCGAAUGCCUAAGGUUUCCUGAGGAAGGCUCGUCCGCUCAGGGUUAGUCAGGACCUAAGCCGAGGCCGACAGGCGUAGGCGAUGGACAACAGGUUGAUAUUCCUGUACCACCUCUUUAUCGUUUGAGCAAUGGAGGGACGCAGAAGGAUAGAAGAAGCGUGCGAUUGGUUGUGCACGUCCAAGCAGUUAGGCUGAUAAGUAGGCAAAUCCGCUUAUCGUAAAGGCUGAGCUGUGAUGGGGAAGCUCCUUAUGGAGCGAAGUCUUUGAUUCCCCGCUGCCAAGAAAAGCUUCUAGCGAGAUAAAAGGUGCCUGUACCGCAAACCGACACAGGUAGGCGAGGAGAGAAUCCUAAGGUGUGCGAGAGAACUCUGGUUAAGGAACUCGGCAAAAUGACCCCGUAACUUCGGGAGAAGGGGUGCUUUCUUAACGGAAAGCCGCAGUGAAUAGGCCCAAGCGACUGUUUAGCAAAAACACAGCUCUCUGCGAAGCCGUAAGGCGAAGUAUAGGGGGUGACACCUGCCCGGUGCUGGAAGGUUAAGGAGAGGGGUUAGCGUAAGCGAAGCUCUGAACUGAAGCCCCAGUAAACGGCGGCCGUAACUAUAACGGUCCUAAGGUAGCGAAAUUCCUUGUCGGGUAAGUUCCGACCCGCACGAAAGGUGUAACGAUUUGGGCACUGUCUCAACCAGAGACUCGGUGAAAUUAUAGUACCUGUGAAGAUGCAGGUUACCCGCGACAGGACGGAAAGACCCCGUGGAGCUUUACUGUAGCCUGAUAUUGAAUUUUGGUACAGUUUGUACAGGAUAGGCGGGAGCCAUUGAAACCGGAGCGCUAGCUUCGGUGGAGGCGCUGGUGGGAUACCGCCCUGACUGUAUUGAAAUUCUAACCUACGGGUCUUAUCGACCCGGGAGACAGUGUCAGGUGGGCAGUUUGACUGGGGCGGUCGCCUCCUAAAGUGUAACGGAGGCGCCCAAAGGUUCCCUCAGAAUGGUUGGAAAUCAUUCGUAGAGUGCAAAGGCAUAAGGGAGCUUGACUGCGAGACCUACAAGUCGAGCAGGGACGAAAGUCGGGCUUAGUGAUCCGGUGGUUCCGCAUGGAAGGGCCAUCGCUCAACGGAUAAAAGCUACCCCGGGGAUAACAGGCUUAUCUCCCCCAAGAGUCCACAUCGACGGGGAGGUUUGGCACCUCGAUGUCGGCUCAUCGCAUCCUGGGGCUGUAGUCGGUCCCAAGGGUUGGGCUGUUCGCCCAUUAAAGCGGUACGCGAGCUGGGUUCAGAACGUCGUGAGACAGUUCGGUCCCUAUCCGUCGUGGGCGUAGGAAAUUUGAGAGGAGCUGUCCUUAGUACGAGAGGACCGGGAUGGACGCACCGCUGGUGUACCAGUUGUUCUGCCAAGGGCAUAGCUGGGUAGCUAUGUGCGGAAGGGAUAAGUGCUGAAAGCAUCUAAGCAUGAAGCCCCCCUCAAGAUGAGAUUUCCCAUAGCGUAAGCUAGUAAGAUCCCUGAAAGAUGAUCAGGUUGAUAGGUUCGAGGUGGAAGCAUGGUGACAUGUGGAGCUGACGAAUACUAAUAGAUCGAGGACUUAACCAU
RNAcentral lists this ribosomal RNA (2922 nucleotides) under Bacillus cereus. Its description in RNAcentral is "bacterial LSU rRNA". It matches the Rfam family "Bacterial large subunit ribosomal RNA". The record is from RNAcentral. Lineage: Bacteria; Bacillati; Bacillota; Bacilli; Caryophanales; Bacillaceae. RNAcentral also lists the same sequence under 4 other names.